AUUUGGGACAGUGUCCUCAACAAUUAGGUGGACGUGAAUGUGGCUAUUACGUCAUGCGUUAUAUGUUCGAAAUAAUGCAAUAUCAUCAUAAUAGUGAGGACCUUAUUACGGAUUUUUCAAGAUCUACACCGUACACAAAUGAGGAGAUAAACGAGGUUCGAGAUAUUUGGGCAGACUAUUUUGUAUGCAAUGUUGAACUUUAGAUCUACACUUACAAAACUCCAUUUACUUGUUAGACUCUUGUUCUAUUUGUUAGGAUUGACAUGAAUGUAUGUAUUUUGUUUACCAACAAUUUGGGUUGGUGUU
This is a long non-coding RNA of Chenopodium quinoa (quinoa), 306 nucleotides long. RefSeq lists it as uncharacterized. NCBI's taxonomy places the organism in Eukaryota, Viridiplantae, Streptophyta, Magnoliopsida, Caryophyllales, Amaranthaceae. The transcript is spliced from 3 exons. The record is from RefSeq and is a predicted model, not a curated record.